Molecule: ribosomal RNA, 252 nt
Filed under: uncultured bacterium
Lineage: Bacteria
Description: partial 16S ribosomal RNA
Rfam family: Bacterial small subunit ribosomal RNA
Source: RNAcentral
UACGUAGGGUGCGAGCGUUAAUCGGAAUUACUGGGCGUAAAGCGUGCGCAGGCGGUUAUUUAAGUCAGGUGUGAAAGCCCUGGGCUUAACCUAGGAAUUGCGCUUGAGACUGGAUAGCUUGGAGUGCGGCAGAGGGAGGUGGAAUUCCCGGUGUAGCAGUGAAAUGCGUAGAGAUCGGGAGGAACAUCUGUGGAAGGCGACUGCCUGGACCAGCACUGACACUGAGGCACGAAAGCGUGGGGAGCAAACAGG